Molecule: non-coding RNA, 73 nt
Organism: Ceratobasidium sp. 370
Lineage: Eukaryota; Fungi; Basidiomycota; Agaricomycetes; Cantharellales; Ceratobasidiaceae
Source: the annotation of a GenBank genome assembly
UCUCCUAUGGCGCAAUUGGCGGCGCGUCUGACUGUUAAUCAGAAGGUUGCUAGUUCGAAUCUAGCUGGGAGAG